CAGACCAAAUUAGUACACUUGAAAUACUGCACAAUAGCAUUUUCAUCGCAACGAGCCAACGACUCCGACACCAUAGCAUUCACUCUCUUCGACACAGCCUCUCUCGCUCUCUCGACGACUCUCCUAAAACAAACUCCCACCCCACCUCUACGGGUCUCCUCGAUCAUCUCUACUGCACCUAAGAUUUCCCUCUCUCAGUUUCAAUAUCCAAAUCUCCUCAUCUCUAUUACACCUGAGAUCUGCCUCUCUCCAUUCCUCUCUCAAUUUCUACAUCUCACUCACUCCAGAUCUCAUCAGAAGAGAGACGUCGGGUAUGGGAGACAGGUAUGUGGGCACAAGACGGCGUCUGGAUCCGAAGGCUGGAGAAGCAAAGAGAAGCUGAGAUAGGUUUCCGAACCCGACCUCAGAUCUUCGGCCAUUGCCUCACUCGUGGAAGCCACAUGUCUAAUUAGGGUUUCGGGAACCCUGAGGAAUUGGGGAUUGUAGGGUUUGGGAGGAGGGGUCGAGGGUGUAGAAGAUAAGGUCACCGGAGGUGAUACAGAGGGAGGCGAGGGAGUCGUCGAGAGAAGAGGCGUGGAGGUCAUCGCGGCGGAGAGGGAUUGUUUGAGGUGGUGGAGAGAGCAGAGAUUCGGGACCUCGAUUCAAAGGGUCUGUUUGGACUCAAUAGCGGGGCAGUUAUCAUAUAUCUUUCAGAUUCUGUGUAAUUUGAAUUGGGUUUCUGGUUUUCUUGGUUGUAAUUUAAACAUCUCUUCUUGGAUCUGCCAAGAUUCCUCUACAUGUUGCAUUGCUUUUAGUUUCUUUUAGGUAGAUGUUUCUGUUAUAUCUGGGUGUUGUUCUGUGCAUAUUGUUGUAAUGGGUCCCUUUUCUGGUUCUUGCGCGAGGCAUUGUGUUUUGUGAGUUUUGUUCUGUGAAACCCAAUAAGGUUUCAAUUGUUGUGAACUGGAGAGAUUGGAGAAAAAGACCCCAAAAGAGGAGAUUGUGUGGAAGUUGUGAUCUGUGAUUGAAAGGACAGUUCUUGUGAGCUUUGAGAAGAUCAGAAAUUAGUAGGUAAUUUGAUUUUGUACUAGGUGUGUUUGGAAUUAUAUGAAUGCGGAGAGUGGUCUAUUCUCUUAUGGUUUGUGAGGCUGGAAAAAGCUGCAACUGACCUGUUGGCUUUGCAUUUUGUUCAAGUCCUUCAGGAGAAAGGAACAAAAAGAAGGAUAAGUUACAUUUUGUUAUACUUGAGCUGGAUGUUGGUGUCAGCUUGUGUAACAAAGGUCAGUGAGGUGUCUUAAUUUUACAGCUUCUCAAUUUUGUAUAUCUGGAGAAUGGAUAAGACCAUUUACAAUUGCCUGAAAUCACUGAAAUUGGUUUCAGAGGGUGUAGAGUUGUGGCAGUGAAAGAUUGUGUAUUGUGUACUCAAAGCUUGUUUCCAACAUUUACUGAAGGGCCUUGGAUUUGAAUUAUGGGGAAUCUGAUUUGCUUGAAGAAAAUUGAGUAGAUGUUUGGAAAAAGUUGGGAGUGAAAAUAACUGAUUUGGACAGAAGAGGUGGAGAUGGCUGCAAAACUUCUGCAUUCUUUAGCUGAUGACAACCCAGAUUUGCAGAAGCAAAUAGGAUGCAUGAAUGGGAUUUUCCAAAUUUUCGAUCGACACCAAGUCCUCACUGGUAGGAGGAUUAGCCACCACAAGAGGCUUCCUCCAGGGAAUUCGCACUAUAGCAAUGGUGGCCUGGAAAGAGAGUCCAACAAUCCAUACCAUCGGCAAGCAGUAACUGUGUGGGAUGCAACUGCAGCUGAUCCUAAAUUGCUGGUCUUUUUGAAAUCAUACAUGAAUUUCUUACACAUUGAAUCUGGGUAAACACGGUAUCGAGAAACAACCGUUUCAGCUCCCUGAUUUCAUUACUGCAACUGGUACUGAGAAAAUUAGACAGGUAAAUUGGUCAUGAGGUUUUUUAUUUGGAUUAUUCUUUGAACACCGCACAUAAGUGCUCCUCUUACUAUCAAUGAGAACUCUGACUCUUAUGUUUGUACCGGAUAGGUCCUGAGGGGGAAUCUGCAUUAUGGAGACUUGCCUGACACACAUUAAAUCAUCAAUGAGGAUCACCAUGGGGCACUCAUCCACCACCUCUCUUUAGUUCGCAACAAACGCUGAAGUUGAUGAACUGCGUAAUGAACUCGCAAAUUAUGAGGUGAAGAACCUGCUAAAGUUGGGAAGUGUGUUGGGAUGAAUCAUUGUUGGUCUUUUUUGGGUAUAUGAAAGGUCUGAAGUGCAUUAGGCAAGAUGUUGGUCCUUUUUGGGUUGGCCUGAAUUGCAUUUCUUCUAUAGAUGUGAUUAUGUACAGAUGAGACUAUUUUAGUCACAUUUGUAGAUGUUUUUUUUGUAUGAGAGACCCGUAGGUGUGAUCUUUUCUAUUUUUUGGAUACAAUUAUCAUUAUCGGAUCCAUUUAUGGGAUUAUAACAACUAUUUAUUAUAAGAAAAUUAUUGAUCAUUUGGUCAA
Molecule: RNA transcript, 2478 nt
Organism: Rosa chinensis
Lineage: Eukaryota; Viridiplantae; Streptophyta; Magnoliopsida; Rosales; Rosaceae
Gene name: protein LONGIFOLIA 2
Exons: 5
Source: RefSeq, a predicted model, not a curated record